CACGCCCUAAACGAUGAUCUCUAGCUUUGAGGAGUAUCGACCCUCUUCGAGGCUAAGUUAACACGAUAAGAGAUCCGCCUGGGUAGUACGGCCGCAAGGUUGAAACUCAAAGGAAUAGACGGGGACUUGCACAAGCGGUGGAACAUGUGGUUUAAUUCGAUGCUAAACGAAGAACCUUACCAGGGUUAGAAAUCCAGACGAAGAUCCGCAGAAACGUGGAUCGCCGAAAGGCGGCUGGACAGGUGC
This 246-nucleotide ribosomal RNA is filed under the name uncultured bacterium. RNAcentral's name for it is "partial 16S ribosomal RNA". It matches the Rfam family "Bacterial small subunit ribosomal RNA", at positions 796 to 1041 of the family's 1533-position model. The record is from RNAcentral.